ACUAUUUUCAAGGAGAGACACUCACCCUGC
This 30-nucleotide non-coding RNA is filed under the name Rattus norvegicus (Norway rat). The record is from RNAcentral. Lineage: Eukaryota; Metazoa; Chordata; Mammalia; Rodentia; Muridae.